GCGCGAAACCUUUACAAUGCACGAAAGUGUGAUAGGGGGAUACUCAGUGCUUACGUCUAUGAUGUAGGCUUUUGUCGAGUGUAGAUAGCUCGGCGAAUAAGUGGUGGGCAAGACUGGUGCCAGCCGCCGCGGUAACACCAGCGCCACGAGUGGUCAUCACGUUUAUUGGGCCUAAAGCGUUCGUAGCCGGUCUGGUACAUCCCUUGUGAAAUUGUGCGGCUUAACCGCACAGCGUGCAGGGGAGACGGCCAGGCUCGAGACCGGGAGGGGUCAGAAGUAUUCCGUGGGGACCGGUAAAAUGGGAUAAUCCACGGAGGACUACCGAUGGCGAAGGCAUCUGACCAGAACGGAUCUGACGGUGAGGAACGAAAGCCAGGGGAGCGAACCGG
This 389-nucleotide ribosomal RNA is filed under the name uncultured euryarchaeote. RNAcentral's name for it is "bacterial SSU rRNA". It matches the Rfam family "Archaeal small subunit ribosomal RNA", at positions 339 to 727 of the family's 1478-position model. The record is from RNAcentral. Lineage: Archaea; Methanobacteriati; Methanobacteriota.